GCCAGACUCCUACGGGAGGCAGCAGUGGGGAAUAUUGCACAAUGGGGGAAACCCUGAUGCAGCGACGCCGCGUGAGUGAAGAAGUAUUUCGGUAUGUAAAGCUCUAUCAGCAGGGAAGAAAUAGCGACCUUUGGGUCGCCAGACGGUACCUGACUAAGAAGCCCCGGCUAACUACGUGCCAGCAGCCGCGGUAAUACGUAGGGGGCAAGCGUUAUCCGGAUUUACUGGGUGUAAGGGGAGCGUAGACGGCAGCACAAGUCUGAAGUGAAAUGCCGGGGCUUAACCCCGGAACUGCUUUGGAAACUGUGCAGCUAGAGUGCAGGAGAGGUAAGUGGAAUUCCUAGUGUAGCGGUGAAAUGCGUAGAUAUUAGGAAGAACACCGGAGGCGAAGGCGGCUUACUGGACUGUAACUGACGCUGAGGCUCGAAAGCGUGGGGAGCAAACAGGAUUAGAUACCCGAGUAA
Molecule: ribosomal RNA, 464 nt
Filed under: uncultured bacterium
Lineage: Bacteria
Description: bacterial SSU rRNA
Rfam family: Bacterial small subunit ribosomal RNA
Source: RNAcentral